This 561-nucleotide ribosomal RNA is filed under the name uncultured euryarchaeote. RNAcentral describes it as "bacterial SSU rRNA". It matches the Rfam family "Archaeal small subunit ribosomal RNA", at positions 24 to 593 of the family's 1478-position model. Lineage: Archaea; Methanobacteriati; Methanobacteriota. The record is from RNAcentral.
UCACUGCUAUCGGGGUUCGAUUAAGCCAUGCGAGUCGAGAGGGUUCGGCCCUCGGCGUACUGCUCAGUAACACGUGGAUAACCUGCCCUAGGGGAGGGGAUAACCCCGGGAAACUGGGGAUAAUACCCUAUAGGUUACAGAUGCUGGAAUGCCCUGUAACCAAAAGCUCCGGCGCCCUAGGAUGGAUCUGCGGCCGAUUAGGUUGUUGUUGGGGUAACGGCCCAACAAGCCCGUAAUCGGUACGGGUUGUGGGAGCAAGAGCCCGGAGUUGGAUUCUGAGACACGAAUCCAGGCCCUACGGGGCGCAGCAGGCGCGAAACCUUUACAAUGCGGGCAACCGUGAUAAGGGAACCUCGAGUGCCUGUAAACGCAGGCUGUUCAGGUGUUUAAAACGCACCUGGAGAAAGGGCCGGGCAAGACCGGUGCCAGCCGCCGCGGUAAUACCGGCGGCUCGAGUGGUGGCCGCUUUUAUUGGGCUUAAAGCGUUCGUAGCUGGGUUGUUAAGUCUCUUGGGAAAUCUGGCGGCUUAACCGUCAGGCGUCUAAGGGAUACUGGCAAUCU